Molecule: non-coding RNA, 101 nt
Organism: Hymenopellis radicata
Lineage: Eukaryota; Fungi; Basidiomycota; Agaricomycetes; Agaricales; Physalacriaceae
Source: the annotation of a GenBank genome assembly
UCUCUGAUAGUAUAUCGGUUAGUACACGCGCCUGUCAUGACCCAAACACGAUGAUAUACAUGUUUGCGCGCGAAAGCUGGGUUCGACUCCCAGUCAGAGAG